RNAcentral lists this ribosomal RNA (737 nucleotides) under uncultured Staphylococcus sp. RNAcentral describes it as "bacterial SSU rRNA". It matches the Rfam family "Bacterial small subunit ribosomal RNA", at positions 63 to 781 of the family's 1533-position model. Lineage: Bacteria; Bacillati; Bacillota; Bacilli; Caryophanales; Staphylococcaceae. The record is from RNAcentral.
CGAGCGAACAGACGAGGAGCUUGCUCCUCUGACGUUAGCGGCGGACGGGUGAGUAACACGUGGAUAACCUACCUAUAAGACUGGGAUAACUUCGGGAAACCGGAGCUAAUACCGGAUAAUAUAUUGAACCGCAUGGUUCAAUAGUGAAAGACGGUUUUGCUGUCACUUAUAGAUGGAUCCGCGCCGCAUUAGCUAGUUGGUAAGGUAACGGCUUACCAAGGCAACGAUGCGUAGCCGACCUGAGAGGGUGAUCGGCCACACUGGAACUGAGACACGGUCCAGACUCCUACGGGAGGCAGCAGUAGGGAAUCUUCCGCAAUGGGCGAAAGCCUGACGGAGCAACGCCGCGUGAGUGAUGAAGGUCUUCGGAUCGUAAAACUCUGUUAUUAGGGAAGAACAAAUGUGUAAGUAACUAUGCACGUCUUGACGGUACCUAACCAGAAAGCCACGGCUAACUACGUGCCAGCAGCCGCGGUAAUACGUAGGUGGCAAGCGUUAUCCGGAAUUAUUGGGCGUAAAGCGCGCGUAGGCGGUUUUUUAAGUCUGAUGUGAAAGCCCACGGCCUCAACCGUGGAGGGUCAUUGGAAACUGGAAAACUUGAGUGCAGAAGAGGAAAGUGGAAUUCCAUGUGUAGCGGUGAAAUGCGCAGAGAUAUGGAGGAACACCAGUGGCGAAGGCGACUUUCUGGUCUGUAACUGACGCUGAUGUGCGAAAGCGUGGGGAUCAAACAGGAUUAG